CAGCAGCCGCGGGAAUACAGAGGGUGCGAGCGUUAAUCGGAUUUACUGGGCGUAAAGCGUGCGUAGGCGGCUUUUUAAGUCGGAUGUGAAAUCCCUAAGCUUAACUUAGGAAUUGCAUUCGAUACUGGGAAGCUAGAGUAUGGGAGAGGAUGGUAGAAUUCCAGGUGUAGCGGUGAAAUGCGUAGAGAUCUGGAGGAAUACCGAUGGCGAAGGCAGCCAUCUGGCCUAAUACUGACGCUGAGGUACGAAAGCAUGGGGAGCAAACAGGAUUAGAUACCCCCGUAGUCCCUGUCUCUUAUAA
RNAcentral lists this ribosomal RNA (301 nucleotides) under uncultured bacterium. RNAcentral's name for it is "partial 16S ribosomal RNA". It matches the Rfam family "Bacterial small subunit ribosomal RNA", at positions 509 to 809 of the family's 1533-position model. The record is from RNAcentral.